CCUACGGGAGGCAGCAGUGAGGAAUAUUGGUCAAUGGCCGAGAGGCUGAACCAGCCAAGUCGCGUGAGGGAAGACGGCCCUACGGGUUGUAAACCUCUUUUGUCGGGGAGCAAAGAGAACCACGUGUGGUUCAUUGAGAGUACCCGAAGAAAAAGCAUCGGCUAACUCCGUGCCAGCAGCCGCGGUAAUACGGAGGAUGCGAGCGUUAUCCGGAUUUAUUGGGUUUAAAGGGUGCGCAGGCGGAUUUUUAAGUCAGAGGUCAAAUCGUGGGGCUCAACCCCAUCCAGCCGUUGAAACUGGGGAUC
This 305-nucleotide ribosomal RNA is filed under the name uncultured bacterium. RNAcentral's name for it is "bacterial SSU rRNA". It matches the Rfam family "Bacterial small subunit ribosomal RNA", at positions 338 to 641 of the family's 1533-position model. The record is from RNAcentral.